This 448-nucleotide long non-coding RNA is filed under the name Mytilus galloprovincialis (Mediterranean mussel). Lineage: Eukaryota; Metazoa; Mollusca; Bivalvia; Mytilida; Mytilidae. The record is from RNAcentral.
CCGGAGGCCAGAGGGUGAUCUAACACUGACACACCAAGUCCGAGUGGGAUAACUAUUUUACAUCCCAGCUGUUUUAGAUUAGACGAAAAACCAUUUACAAUUCAUAAAAUCGAGUUAAGAACGCCUCACAACCAUUAUAAUAUACUUUAUACAUUACUAUAUGAUUUAUACCCUUUUUGACCCCCGAACACGAUGAGCAGAUAUCAAAUAAUGUCAACUCGCCCCACUGGCAAAUCGGCCCAACCUAUAUCGCCACUUUAUAAAAAAUAAUCGACCCACUCUUGUUUACCGACUCGCCCCACUUUUGAAGAAGUGUAAAAUCAAACUAAACAAUCACUGACAACUCACUUAUUAACGAAAAGGGUUUAAACCCCACUGAAAAAAGGUCUGACAACUCGCCCCACUUAUAAAAAUAUCUUGCUUCCUUUAAGUAUGUUAAAUUACUGAC